GAUGAAGAACGUAGCGAAAUGCGAUAAGUAGUGUGAAUUGCAGAAUUCAGUUAAUCAUCGAAUCUUUGAACGCACAUUGCGCCCCUUGGUAUCCCGAGGGGCAUGCCUGUUCGAGCGUCAUUUCACCACUCAAGCCUGGCUUGGUGUUGGGCGACGUCCUCUUUGGGGACGCGCCUCGAAACGCUCGGCGGCGUGGCACCGGCUUUAAGCGUAGCAGAAUCUUUCGCUUUGGAAGUCGGGGCCCCGUCUGCCGGAAGACCUGCUCGCAAGGUUGACCUCGGAUCAGGCAGGGAUACCCGCUGAACUUAAGCAUAUCAAUAAGCGGAGGA
Molecule: unclassified non-coding RNA, 329 nt
Filed under: soil metagenome
Description: partial contains 5.8S ribosomal RNA, internal transcribed spacer 2, and large subunit ribosomal RNA
Rfam family: 5.8S ribosomal RNA (bases 1-120)
Source: RNAcentral